RNAcentral lists this long non-coding RNA (315 nucleotides) under Physcomitrium patens. Its description in RNAcentral is "long non-coding RNA (PPAT_LNC014987)". The record is from RNAcentral. Lineage: Eukaryota; Viridiplantae; Streptophyta; Bryopsida; Funariales; Funariaceae.
CUCUUCCUCCUGACAUACAAUCUCUCAAAGAUCCAAUGACGCCAAAAGUAGCUCCAUUUUGGCCUUCCAGUGGUGAAAGUUGUCACCUUUGAACUUUUCAACCAUUCUCAAGCUAUCACCCUCAAAAGUUGCCAUCUCAAGCUACACGUAGGUCCAAAAAACUCUUGAUUUGGAGUUGUAAUGGAGAAGAUAUCAAUACUCAAAGAUCGCUGAACCACAAACCCAGAAUUCGCUGUUUUGCAACUUUUUGUAAAUUAUGAGUCCUAAUCACGUCUAAAUGGUGGGGAAUGAAUUGUAAAGUAAUUCUAUGGCUCU